This 492-nucleotide ribosomal RNA is filed under the name uncultured bacterium. Its description in RNAcentral is "partial 16S ribosomal RNA". It matches the Rfam family "Bacterial small subunit ribosomal RNA", at positions 29 to 507 of the family's 1533-position model. The record is from RNAcentral.
AGUGAACGCUGGCGGUAGGCCUAACACAUGCAAGUCGAACGGCAGCACAGUAAGAGCUUGCUCUUACGGGUGUCGAGUGUCGGACGGGUGAGGAAUACAUCGGAAUCUACUUUUUCGUGGGGGAUAACGUAGGGAAACUUACGCUAAUACCGCAUACGACCUACGGGUGAAAGCAGGGGAUCUUCGGACCUUGCGCGAUUGAAUGAGCCGAUGUCGGAUUAGCUAGUUGGCGGGGUAAAGGCCCACCAAGGCGACGAUCCGUAGCUGGUCUGAGAGGAUGAUCAGCCACACAGGAACUGAGACACGGUCCAGACUCCUACGGGAGGCAGCAGUGGGGAAUAUUGGACAAUGGGCGCAAGCCUGAUCCAGCCAUACCGCGUGGGUGAAGAAGGACUUCGGGUUGUAAAGCCCUUUUGUUGGGAAAGAAAAGCAGCAGGUUAAUACCCCGCUGUUCUGACGGUACCCAAAGAAUAAGCACCGGCUAACUUCGUG